RNA transcript from Chlorocebus sabaeus (green monkey), 1332 nucleotides. RefSeq lists it as uncharacterized. NCBI's taxonomy places the organism in Eukaryota, Metazoa, Chordata, Mammalia, Primates, Cercopithecidae. The record is from RefSeq and is a predicted model, not a curated record.
GACGCCUCUUCCCUGCUUCUGCGACCGCAGCUGGGCACUCGGAAAGUUGCUAGGGCCGAAGAGGCUGGAGGGGAGGAAGGGAAGAGAGAGGCGGAGGCGUGGACCAGGCGGGCAGCAGCCUCAGCCCGCCGGGGAGCGCCGCGGCAUCCGGACCUGGGGGAACCCCUCCUACUGACCCCCGUCUCCUAGGAUGAGGGAUUAAGCGACCACCGAGGACCCUGAGGUCUCACCAGAGCUUCUGACCCCACCCGCCCCUGGAGUUGUCUCGGUGCGCGCGGGUGGCAGCCCGAGCAGCCCUAGAGGAGGCGGCGGUUCCCGCCCUGGUGAAGGCGCCGCGGCGCACGCUAGCCCAGGGAAAAGCCCGCGCCGCCUCCGCGCCCAGCUGUGCCUUGGCCCCCACGCCGCCCCGACCCCGCUCCGGCCGCUGCGAGUCCACUCGGUGACCUCGGCGCAGCCCUGGUGCCAAGAGGGCGCGCGGGAGGCCGCGUGGGUGCCCGUCUGAGCGGGCAGGAGCCCCGGGGGGCCCUCGCCCUCCACCCGGCCCGGCCCUCCCUCUCCACCCGGCCCGGCCCUCUCCCGCCCCCGCGGCCCGCGCCCAGCCCGGCUCUUACCGCGGGGUCAGCGGGGAGGCAGCGGCCGCAGCGCUUGAGCCGCUGCUGGUCCGCUCUGGGCUCGGCGCCAGCCCGGCUGCCGGUGCACACUCACGGGUCCCGGCCCGGCGGCCCGCUCGGCGGUGACUGCGGGUGCGCGGCGGGCGAGGGUCCCGGCAGGUCCCGCCGCCGCGACUCGGGCGCUGCGCCGCCGUCGCUGCAGACGGUUAUGGUAAUGAGCGGCUCUGUCUAGCGAGCAGCGUGUGAAACCCGUCAAUCCUGUUUGCCAUUUCCCCGUGGAUUUCCGAGGAGAGGUUCUGCAGGAUGCCCCCAGGCAAACGGAGAUGAGAAACAGAUGUCUUUGCAGGACCAAACAGUUACUCUCCCUCGCCGCCCCCGCCCGUUUCCCUCCUGAGCUGCUGAUCCUCCGACUGUGAAAAACCAAACCUCUGGCUGCCUGGCACCCUAGGAAUCAAGAAGACGCACAGACUGAAAAUCAAGGGAAGAAGGAACAAGAUCAAGGAUGAGGAUUAGCAUCUGCAAAUUGAACUCUAUCUAAUUUGCAUGUUUAUUUCUUAGAAUUGUAAUUAAAUUUGUGUAAUAAAUGUUUUCCAUUUCAUUUGUACACUUAAAACUUGGGUGACUGACAUGCAGUUAAGUGAAUUUCCUUUUUUUUUUUUUUAAAGCAAAUGUAGUUUAUUCAAUAAAGUAGCAAACCAAUAUUAAACAUAAUUAGAACUAA